Non-coding RNA from Chelonoidis abingdonii (Abingdon island giant tortoise), 101 nucleotides. The record is from RefSeq and is a predicted model, not a curated record. Lineage: Eukaryota; Metazoa; Chordata; Testudines; Testudinidae.
GCUUCGAUUCCUGGAUGGCAGCGGACAAAUUUAAGGAGUUGCUUCCACAAGAGGCACGUCAAGAGUUCUCCGCGAUCCUUGACGAAGGCAAGAAGGUCGCG